AUUAUAACUUGUGAUAUAACAAAAUUAAACUAAUAUUAUAUAACUUCAAUCAUAAACAUCAAUUCAUAAUUUGAUAUAAUAAAUCAUCAUUCACAGAUUAAUAUAAUAUAAUAUUAUCUAUAAAUCCUUCCAGUAAAAUCAUUUCAAAAUCUAACUUUCACAAUGGUAGCACCCAAAAUCACCCCAAACAUGUAAAAUACUACUGUACUCAAAACGUAUAAAUAUUGUCCUCUAAAAUUUUACUUUGCAGACACCAUUAUGAAUUCAAAACCUAUAAACAUUGCAUUCCCAUAUUUUCUUUACGGACUCACUUUAUACACUCAAUCCCUCAACAAUGCAAGAUACAAAUUCUCUGCAAGAUUUCCACUCUGCAUUUCUUUCUUCAUCCAUCAACCACAAUGAAAACUUCUACUUCCUUUCUAUGUUUCUUCUUUCUUCUCUUCCUUAUAUAAUUCAAAGCUACACUUUUCUCAUAAUGUUGAUUCAAACCUAAUAAAUUAUUUCUCUUUCAUUCAGUAUCUAUCCUUCCUCUCAUCAAUUAUCUAUAUCUAGCCCUCCUCUUAUCCAAUAUCCAUCCCUCCAGCUUUCGCUCCCCACACACACCAUUGCAUUUUAUUUUCACAUGGGUUACUAACCUUAUAUCAAUGCAACCAUGAUAACUAUGAUAACCCAUCUCGAACUGAAAUCUUAAGUUUCCUUCCACGGCAACCCCAACAACACAUUUACAAUUUUUAAAACACCAUACACCAUGUACUCCAUACAUUCAUUUAAUAAUGAAACCUAAGAACGGAACACAAAACCCCUGGCCUACAUUCAAUUCAUACAAUAUACAUCUAUGCAUAUAUUCACUUUACGUAAACUCAACUGAAAUCAUGACUCUCCCACUUACUACACACAAACAGGUUCUAUUUUCAUCCUCGCAUGUAGCAUAGUAUUGAAAUAUAUGAAAUAGUUUUCUCAUCUGAUACACCC
RNAcentral lists this long non-coding RNA (972 nucleotides) under Vigna radiata. RNAcentral's name for it is "long non-coding RNA (VRAD_LNC017563)". Lineage: Eukaryota; Viridiplantae; Streptophyta; Magnoliopsida; Fabales; Fabaceae. The record is from RNAcentral.